ACAAUGUAUUUUGGUAGGCCAUGGCUAUGAAUGAAAAUGCUUGAAAUGAUGAGUUUGUUAUGUUUGGAUGUAUGGUUGGUUUAUGUUGCAUAUUCUAUGAAGUGUUAGAGCUGAUUUUGGAAAUGGUUUUUCUUGGUUUUUAUAGGUAGUUUCAUGGAAGAGGAAAAAGCUUGGCCUUGAAGGAAGAUGAAGCAAGGGGUGUAUGACAGUAA
RNAcentral lists this long non-coding RNA (212 nucleotides) under Lathyrus oleraceus (garden pea). Its description in RNAcentral is "Pisum sativum (pea) long non-coding RNA (PSAT_LNC007136)". Lineage: Eukaryota; Viridiplantae; Streptophyta; Magnoliopsida; Fabales; Fabaceae. The record is from RNAcentral.